RNAcentral lists this ribosomal RNA (590 nucleotides) under uncultured Geothrix sp. RNAcentral's name for it is "bacterial SSU rRNA". It matches the Rfam family "Bacterial small subunit ribosomal RNA", at positions 335 to 916 of the family's 1533-position model. The record is from RNAcentral. Lineage: Bacteria; Pseudomonadati; Acidobacteriota; Holophagae; Holophagales; Holophagaceae.
ACUCCUACGGGAGGCAGCAGUGGGGAAUUUUGCGCAAUGGGCGAAAGCCUGACGCAGCAACGCCGCGUGGGUGAUGAAGGUCUUCGGACUGUAAAACCCUGUCGUCAGGGACGAAGGUAGUUCGGUUAACAGCCGAAUUGCUUGACGGUACCUGGAGAGGAAGCCCCGGCUAACUCUGUGCCAGCAGCCGCGGUAAUACAGAGGGGGCAAGCGUUAUUCGGAAUUAUUGGGCGUAAAGGGCGCGUAGGCGGUCUUUUAAGUCAGAUGUGUAAUCCCCGAGCUCAACUUGGGAACUGCAUCUGAGACUGGAAGGCUAGAGUACUGGAGAGGGUGGUGGAAUUCCUCGUGUAGCGGUGAAAUGCGUAGAGAUGAGGUGGAACACCAGUGGCGAAGGCGGCCACCUGGACAGUAACUGACGCUGAGGCGCGAAAGUGUGGGUAGCAAACAGGAUUAGAUACCCUGGUAGUCCACGCUGUAAACGAUGAACACUUGGUGUGGAGGGAGUUGACCCCUUCCGUGCCGGAGCUAACGCGUUAAGUGUUCCGCCUGGGGAGUACGGUCGCAAGGCUGAAACUCAAAUGAAUUGACGG